This is a long non-coding RNA of Sparus aurata (gilthead seabream), 2058 nucleotides long. Lineage: Eukaryota; Metazoa; Chordata; Actinopteri; Spariformes; Sparidae. The record is from Ensembl.
AUGUCGCAAAAAAGGACUUACCCUUCAGGGGCAGAAAAAAGAAAAAGGAAGAAAGAUGAAGACGACAAGAUAAAGGUCCAUCUCUAUCCUCUGUGCCCACUGUCCCUUUUGUGUCUUCUGCAACCUCAGCUGUACCUGGUCCUUCAUCUUUGGUCAUCGAGAUUGAUUUGUCCUCAUCAGCGUCCAGUUUGGUGCAGGGAUCAGCAGCUCCGCCAGUUGACCCAGCUGAGUGUCCCUCUUUCUUGUCAGACUCAGAAAGGACUGAACAGGUAUUAAGAGGGCCACUGCCUAUAGAGGACACAGUCAUAUUCCCAAAAAGACACGAUGGCCGAAGCCCCCGUCCCAUUUUACCAAAGAUUUUGCACAUUUUUACAUAGUUUUCAGACCUAAUUCAUCUUAAUAUUUUAUUUAUAAACCAUUUGUGUUACCUUGUACCUAGUAUUUGUCUGAUUUUUUAAAAAUUUAUUGUAUUUAAUACUGUCUGUUUUCAUACAUUUGGUGUUGCAGUUUAUUCAAAAAAAUAAUGAUAAAGCAGAUUGUGUUUGCAGUAAACGAUUAGUUUAUUUUGUUACUUUUAAUUGGCCUAGAUGACAUUCGGUAUCCCACUUAGUACUAUAUCACUUUGAAUAUUAAGUGUUAAUCAACCCCAGGCUGCUCUUGUAGCUGAAUUUGCUACCAUUUCAGAAUAAAAACCAUAGAUGGGUAAAACAUGUUUGGCUGCUCUUUAAGGUUUUAUGUAUUGACUACAAAUGUGUCGCCAUUAGGGGGAGUUGCUGACUUUGCCAAAUAUUAAUUGAAAGAUUUUUCUGUAAAUUUGCAAAUCUGGUGUCUGCUUCCAUGGCAUUAAUCACUGUGGAUUACAAUCUAACUACAACAAAAAGUUCUCACAUUUAGUUCUACAAGUGUAUUCGUAAUGAUAAUAAUGACAAUAAUCAUUAUUAUUGGCAGUAAUAGAGGGCCCCAAAAUCAAAUUUUGCUUAGGGCCCCAUGGAGGCUUGGGCCGGCUCUGAAGUCACACAAAACAAAACAAACUAAAUCCAACAGAACCUAAACAAAACAAAACAGCAGUGGCAAUCUGCAACAAAACAGAACAAAUAAUUCAAACCACUGUAAAAAAAUAAAGUACACCAUAUAAAACAAAGUCCGCCUUUUAUCUCCAUACACCACUUGCAGCGUCCGCAAAGUUUGUCAUACAAGCUGGCACCAAACAGGAUCAGGACCGCAGACUCACACACACUAACGCGGAAGCGGAGAAGCAGGGAGAAACCGGCACCACACUAGACCAGAACAGCAGACUCACACACGCUGACACCGUCGGAGCCAAAGGGGAGAAGCCGGCACCAGGCUGGACCAGGACAGCAGACUUGCAUGCCCCGACACCGUCAGAGACGAAGGGAGAAGCCGGCACCAAACUGGACAGGGACCGCGGACACGCUGACACAGUCACGGACCAAGAAGCAAAGAGAGGGAGAGCAUCGACAUGCCACAGCUUAUGUAUGAUGGUCCAGCUGGUCAAUUAAGACCCGGAAGUAAAGUGUGGCUACUGGCGAGGGACGUUUUACCCAACUGCCGCUAUCUACCUGCUAUAUAUAAAUAAAUGUAAAUCUGUAGAAACAGUGCUAUAACAGUGUCAGUAGAAGAGGAACAUGUGUAAGAUCCCUUACAUUCUGGUCUACUGGUCUGGUAGUCUGGUUCAUCUUCCCCCUCACACUGUUCCAAGAAGUCUUCCCAGAACGCAGAGUAUGCCUCACUUGACACACUAUCACUGUCCACAGCUUUCUCAUUUGUAAACUCCAUUUUUAGAUUAGAAUUCAGUAGUUUUGGUUCCAUGAAGAUAUUAAGGACAUCAUCAACUGUGUUUACCCGUCUUACUUUCACAAGAAGGAGUUCUUUUUCAAAUGGGUCUGGUGAUGCUGGAAGGCUGCUUGAUGAUACAGGUCCGUCAUUCAGUGUAGAGUGCUGCAAGAUUUUUUAAAAAGGCAAUUAGGCGUGAUUAUUGAUCGAUUAAUCAAUUGGUGAACAGAAAAUGAAUCAACGACUUUGACAAUCAAUAUAUCA